Molecule: ribosomal RNA, 301 nt
Filed under: uncultured bacterium
Lineage: Bacteria
Description: partial 16S ribosomal RNA
Rfam family: Bacterial small subunit ribosomal RNA
Source: RNAcentral
CAGUCGCCGCGGGAAUACGUAGGGACCAAGCGUUGUUCGGAUUUACUGGGCGUAAAGGGCGCGUAGGCGGCAAUUCAAGUCAUCUGUGAAAUCUCCGGGCUUAACUCGGAACGGUCAGAUGAUACUGCUUUGCUAGAGUACAGAAGGGGCAAUCGGAAUUCUUGGUGUAGCGGUGAAAUGCGUAGAUAUCAAGAGGAACACCUGAGGUGAAGACGGGUUGCUGGGCUGAUACUGACGCUGAGGCGCGAAAGCUAGGGUAGCAAACGGGAUUAGAUACCCGUGUAGUCCCUGUCUCUUAUAC